AACGAACGCUGGCGGCAUGCCUAACACAUGCAAGUCGAACGAGACCUUCGGGUCUAGUGGCGCACGGGUGCGUAACACGUGGGAAUCUGCCCUUUGCUUCGGAAUAACAGUUAGAAAUGACUGCUAAUACCGGAUGAUGUCGAAAGACCAAAGAUUUAUCGGCAAAGGAUGAGCCCGCGUAGGAUUAGGUAGUUGGUGGGGUAAAGGCCUACCAAGCCGACGAUCCUUAGCUGGUCUGAGAGGAUGAUCAGCCACACUGGGACUGAGACACGGCCCAGACUCCUCGGGGGGGCGGAGGGGGGAAAUAUUGGAAAAGGGGAGAAAGCUUGACCCAGCAAUGCCGGGGGAGGAAUGAGGCCUUUGGGGUUGAAAAGCUUUUUUACAAGGGAGGAAAAUAAGAGUCCCUGGAAAAUAGGCCCGGGCAAACCCCGUC
This 433-nucleotide ribosomal RNA is filed under the name uncultured bacterium. RNAcentral describes it as "partial 16S ribosomal RNA". It matches the Rfam family "Bacterial small subunit ribosomal RNA", at positions 29 to 507 of the family's 1533-position model. The record is from RNAcentral.